CCCUGUAUUUAAAAAACUCCCAUGGAGGCACUUCAGUGCAUGGGGGAUGCUGGUCAUCUUUAUUAUAAUUGCUUUGGGAAAUAUUCGCUUCAGUGGCUCUGUGGUCUGUGAGUUGACUUGCCCUCCCUGCCUCAAGCACCUGCAAAACUGAUAGCUUGAUUUCGAUGUUUGUAAUAUUGGGUGUCUUUUCUUUUGCAGGUGGUAACCUGUUGAUGUCAAAAUUCUUUUUCAGAGUUCAAAUUGACUCUAUGUAGGGGAAUGUGGAUCCUGGUAUUAUGUUAUUAUUUACGUUAUUUAUAAGGUAUUAACCAUCCUACUGUGUCUCAUACCAUAUGGCACUUAUAUACAUACAAAUAUCUCCCUCAACUUACAUGCCUUUGUGCUUCUUCUGCAUGAACAUCUUUUGUAGGCUGGACUCUUGUUUAGGUAUUAUACUGCUAUAUAUUCUACAAUAUUUGUAAUUCCUGAGCAUUUCAUGGAAGCUUUUUUUCCUGCUUAUACUUGCGUGUAAGUGACCUUGAUGAAAUGUGAUAGUGUCCUUCAACCUGGGCAUUUUUGUAUUAUAGGCUAGGCCCAUGGACUGCUGAAGCUUGUGAUUGAUAGGUAAGUAGAAUAAUAGGUGUGCAUUAAUAAUACUGAUUCUUCAGCCUAGUCAUUUUAUUUUACAGGGUUCCAUGUUUUGGGAAACACCUAGCCACUAUGGACUUUAGCCUGGAGGUUUCUUAUGGUAGGUAUGAAUUGAAAUACUUUUUCAUGUCAUUCUUCAGCCUGGGCAUCUUUGUUUUACAGGUUGUGAGGGAAACAGCAGAGUCAGGAAAUCUUGUACUGCUAAUGCUUGUGGUUGGUGAGUAGAAAAAUAGAUGAGCAUGGAUAGUGCUGAUUCUUCAACCUUUGAAUCUUUUUAUUUUACAGGUUUUCCUAUUUUGGAAAUCUGGACAUCUAGCCACUAUGGUACUUGAGCCUUGCAGUUUAUUUCAGAUCCUGUUUCUUGCGGUAGGUAUGGAUGAAUAAAUUCAGUUUGGCAUUGUAUUUCAGCAUGGGCAUCUUUGUUUUACAGGUUGGGACUUUUUGAGAGAAAGGUAACCAGCCACGUCAGGAAACCUUGUACUGUUGCAUCCUGUAAUUGAUUGGUAUGUAGAAGAAUAGGCAUGCAUGGGUUAUACUGGUUCUUCAACCAGGGUAUCUUUUUAUUUUACAGGUUUUCCUCUUUUGGGAAACAUCUAGCCACUAUGGUACUCCAGCCUGGCAGUUUGUGUUCCUGUUUCGUGUGGUAGGUAUGGAUGAACAAAUUCAAUCUGACAUUGUCUUUCUUCAGCAUGGGUAUUUUUGUUUUACAGGUUGGGACAUUGUGAGGGAGAGGCUAGCAGCAGAAUCAGGAAACCUUGUACUGCUAAAGCUUGUGAUUGGUGAGUGGAAAAAUGUGUAUGGAUAAUACUUAUUCUUCAACCUUGCAAUCUUUUUAUUUUACAAGUUUUUUUUUGUUUUGGGAAACAUCAAGCCACUAGAGAACUUCAGCCUGGCAGUUUAUUUGGAAUCCUAUUUCUUGCGGUAGGUAUGAAUUUAAAAAUUCUGUUUGGCAUUGUCAUUUUUUAGCACGGGCAUCUUUGUUUUACAGGUUGGGAAACUGAGGGAAAGGCAACCCUGGGAAACAUCUAGCCACUAUGUUACUUCAGCCUAGCAGUUUAUUUGGGAUCCUCUUUUUUUGCGGUACAAAUUCAAUUCCUCAUUUUUUGAACAAAUUCAAUUCGACAUUGUCAUUCUUUAGCAGGGGCAUCCAGUUUAACAGGUUGGGAUCCUGGGGCAAAGGCUAGACAUCAUGUUGGUUACAUUGGACUGCUGAAGCUUCUAAUAGAUAAGUGAGUAGAGGAAUAAAUGUGCACAGAUUAUACCAAUUCUUCAACCUGGGCAUCUGAUUUCCUGGUUGGGAAUUGUAUAGCCACUGGCAGUUUUAUUGGUAAGUAUGACUGGAAAUACUGUGAGUGUGAGUAGAAGAAUAGGCAUGCAUGGGUUCUAUUGGUUCUUUUAUUUUAUUUUACAGGUUUUCCUGUUGGGCUACAUCUAGACACUAUGGAACUUCAGCCUAGCAGUUUAUUUGGGAUCCUGUUGCUUGUGGUAGGUAUGGAUGAAAAAAUUCAAUGUUUCUCUUCAGCAUGGGCAUCUUUGUUUUGCAGGUUGGGACUUUUUGAGGGAAAGGUAACCAGCCACGUCAGGAAACUUUGUACUGUUGCAGCCUGUGAUUGAUUGGUGAGUAGAAGAAUAGGCAUGCAUGGGUUAUACUGGUUCUUCAACCAGGGUAUCUUUUUAUCUUACAGCUUUUCCUCUUUUGGGAAACAUCUAGCCACUAUGGUACUCCAGCCUGGCAGUUUGUGUUCCUGUUUCUUGUGGUAGGUAUGGAUGAACAAAUUCAAUCUGACAUUGUCUCUCUUUAGCAUGGGUAUUUUCAUUUUUCAGAUUGGGACAUUGUGAGGGAAGGCUAGCAGAAGGGUCAGGAAAACUUGUACUGCUAAAACGUGUGAUUAGUGAAUAGAAAAAUGUGUAUGGAUAAUACUUAUUCUUCAACCUGGGCAUCUUUUUAUUUUACAGGUUGUUUUUUUUUGUUUUGGGAAACAUCAAGCCACUAGAGAACUUCAGCCUGGCAGUUUAUUUGGAAUCCUAUUUCUUGUGGUAGGUAUGGAUGAACAAAUUCAAUGUUCAUGUCUCUUCAGCAUGGGCAUCUUUGUUUUGCAGGUUGGGACAUUGUAAGGGAGAGGCUAGCAGCAGAGUCAGGAAAUCUUGUACUGCUAACGCUUGUGAUUGGUUGGAAUUCUGUGUGGUAAUUGCUAGAAGCUAGCUCAGAUUACCUUGGUCUGCAUAAAUGUGCAGAGAUUAUACCAAUUCUUCAGCCUGGGAAUUUGUUUUCCUGUUUAGGAAUUGUCUAGCCACUGGCAGUUUAUUUGGGAACCUGUUUCUUGUGGUAGGUAUGAAUGAACAAAUUCUGUUUGACACUGUCAUUUUUCAGCAUGGUCAUAUUUGUUUUACAGGUUGGGACAUUGUUGGGAAGGCUAAAAGCAUAGGAAGGUAACCUUGGUCUGCUAAUGCUUGUAAUAGAUAGGUGAGUAAAGAGAAUUAAUGGCCACAGAUUAUACUGAUUCUUCAACCCAUGCAUUUGUUUCUUUUUACAGGUCUUCCUGGUUGGGAAUUGUCUAUCCACUGGCAGUUUUAGUGGGAACCUGUUUCUUGUGGUAGGUAUGGAUAAACAAAUUCGACUUCGAAUUAUUCAGCAUCGGCAUCUUUUCUUUACAGGUUGGGACAUUGUGAGGGAAGGCAACCAGCCACAUCAGGAAACCUUGUGCUGUUGAAACCCGUGAUUGAUUGGUAAGUAGAAUAGGCUAGCAUUGGUUAUUCUGGUUCUUUAACCUGGGUAUCUUUUUGUUUUACAGGUUUUCCUAUUUUGGGGAAACACCUAGCCACUAAGGAACACAGACGCCAGGCUGGAGUACCAGUUUCUUGUGGUAGGUAUGGAUGAACAAAUUAAAUUUGGCUUUGUCUCUCUUUAGCAUGUGCAUCUUUUUUUUACAGGUUGGGACACUGUGAGGGAAUGGAUAGCAUCGGAGUCAGGAAACCUUGUACUGCAAAAGCUUGUGAUUGGUUGGUACCUGGUUUGGAAAAAGGCUUAGCCCGGCAGCAAUUUAUGGUGAUUACUGGCCAAAUCAGCGCCCAAAGCAACUGUUUUUCUUGGCUGCAUCGAAACACAUCUCACGUGAAUGAGAAUCUGGACUUUUAUUUGGAGUUUCUAUAUUUGUAUUAGGAUUGUCAAAUGUUUGUAUUCACUAAACUUUCAAUUAAACUUUU
Long non-coding RNA from Xenopus tropicalis (tropical clawed frog), 3831 nucleotides. RefSeq lists it as uncharacterized. NCBI's taxonomy places the organism in Eukaryota, Metazoa, Chordata, Amphibia, Anura, Pipidae. The record is from RefSeq and is a predicted model, not a curated record. The transcript has 3 exons.